RNAcentral lists this small nucleolar RNA (146 nucleotides) under Eucalyptus grandis. RNAcentral's name for it is "small nucleolar RNA snoR135". It matches the Rfam family "small nucleolar RNA snoR135". Lineage: Eukaryota; Viridiplantae; Streptophyta; Magnoliopsida; Myrtales; Myrtaceae. The record is from Rfam by way of RNAcentral.
UUAGCAGAGACUGUGUAUCGGCGUGGCGCGACAAAGGUGCGCCAAUAGCCGAAAGGUGAUCUCUGCGAAAUCAAUAGAGGGGAAGGUGGGCAGUUGGAGCUCAAAUUCUUCCAUUGAGCUAUUCAACAAUCAUCUUCCCCACAUCC